UCAAGAAACUUCCACAAUGGGCGAAAGCUUGAUGGAGCGACGUCGCGUGAUGGACGAAGUGCUUCGGCACGUAAACAUCUUUUAUGUGGGAUGAAAUUAUUGACAGUACCACAUGAAUAAGGGGCUCCUAACUCUGUGCCAGCAGGAGCGGUAAUACAGAGGCCCCAAGCGUUAUCCGGAAUCACUGGGCGUAAAGGGUGUCGAGGCGGUUGUAUUAGUCGUUCGUAAAAUCUACGAGCUUAACUUGUAGGCGGCGAACGAAACGGUACGACUUGAGGUUUGGAGAGGUGCGUGGAACUCACGGUGUAGGGGUGAAAUCCGUUGAUAUCGUGGGGAACACCAAAGGCGAAGGCAGCGCACUGGCCAAAAUCUGACGCUCACACACGAAAGCUAGGGUAGCGAAGAGGAUUAGAUACCCCCGUAGUCCCUGAGCGGGCUGGCAAGGCGCAU
Molecule: ribosomal RNA, 450 nt
Filed under: uncultured bacterium
Lineage: Bacteria
Description: bacterial SSU rRNA
Rfam family: Bacterial small subunit ribosomal RNA
Source: RNAcentral